CUUAAAUCCUAUCAGAAUCGAGUCGGUGCAAAGCCUGGUUUGUCGUGGGCUAAUGCGUGCUGAAAAAUUGGAUACACUAAUAAUUAAACCAUCUUAAUCAACAUCUGUCUUAAUUGUGAUGCCAAAUUUGCCAAGAGAAGCCUUUGAAUACCUAUAACGGUGGCAUCGCAUUUUCGAAUGAUCAAUCAUUGUCUUCGAAGUAUUCUUUCAUAUCCUAAAUAAUAGAAAAACUAAUUGGAACUCGUUAACAUGGACGUCACUAAGAUAUUCUAUUAUUUACUCUAUUUUACGAACAUUUCGCUACACGCAUUGGGAUUGGCAUGCGCAUUGAACCGAAAGUAUAAGUAGUCCGUUACAUCGGGGACUGUAGCAGAACAAAUUUUGAGCGCUAGUGGAAUUGUUGCUCACAACGUUUUGAAGAUCAAACCCAAAAAUGAAUCUGCACCAACUCUACAUUCCCAUCAGCGUCGUCCUCUGUAUCCUAGCAACAGUGACCGUCACCUACACUGCCACUGCCUCGCUAGAAGAAGUCGAAGCCGAAGCAACCGAAAAUUUACCGCCAAAUAUCAGAUACUUUUUAAACAACAUGAAAAAUGACGGACUGUCCUUACAAGCGCCUCCUCACGUUUACAUGAACAAGUUAAAGCGUUAUUUCGACGCUGACGCGAAGAACAAGCGCAGCGGUUUUUGGAUUUGGAUGCCCGCGCAAGGUUAUGUAUCCGUGCCCAAUGAACAAAUCUCAGAGGGAACUAAAGGCAACGGAGGCGGUAACGUCCUUAGAUAUGGCUAAUGCUGCGGUGCUUAGAAAUUUGUUUAUAAACAUUUAAUUUGAACGACUAUAUAUAUGUGUACAUUUGCUAAAAUGGUAUAACAUCUGUGUUCGGUUUGUACAAGUAAUAAUGAUCUGAAUAAAAUUUUAUUUAAAAUU
Dreissena polymorpha is the source of this 928-nucleotide long non-coding RNA. RefSeq lists it as uncharacterized. The record is from RefSeq and is a predicted model, not a curated record. The transcript is spliced from 2 exons. Lineage: Eukaryota; Metazoa; Mollusca; Bivalvia; Myida; Dreissenidae.